AGAGCACUUAAACAGGUCUCUGCCUGGCCCCAUAGGAUGGGAUUUGGUAGCUGGUGCUCAGAGGAACCUCUCCAUUGCAACCCGCAGCCAGGUCCUUCCUGUGCUGGCUGCGUUACAGAUUUGGAGAGACAUCU
Small nucleolar RNA from Chelonoidis abingdonii (Abingdon island giant tortoise), 134 nucleotides. NCBI's taxonomy places the organism in Eukaryota, Metazoa, Chordata, Testudines, Testudinidae. The record is from Ensembl.